GGAUCUUGUGAUUGUGACCGUUCAUUGUAUAUCGUGCAAUUAGAAAUCAUUUUAAAAUUUAAAAUUAAAUAUAAAUAGUAACUAACGAUUUCUAACCGUACGAUAUAUGAUGAACGGUUCUUCUCAAAAAAAAUAUAUGAUGAACGGUCACGAUCACAGGAUCUUGAGGAUUCCUAGGAAAAGGAUUUGGCGGUGAUCUUGUGCUACGUGCGACAUACACAUUUUAAAUGUAUUUAUAUGCGUAAAUUGACAAGAAAAGUUAAAUAUUUGAAGUAAAUGAAUAAUCUUAGAUCAUGCUGUCUCUAUAGAAUUUACAUUAAGAAUACAGAAAAUAAUAUUUAAUAAACAAUGGAUUGAAUCACAU
Molecule: long non-coding RNA, 364 nt
Filed under: Malus domestica (apple)
Lineage: Eukaryota; Viridiplantae; Streptophyta; Magnoliopsida; Rosales; Rosaceae
Description: long non-coding RNA (MDOM_LNC015515)
Source: RNAcentral